RNAcentral lists this ribosomal RNA (638 nucleotides) under Bacillus sp. BHI-B5F-T. RNAcentral's name for it is "bacterial SSU rRNA". It matches the Rfam family "Bacterial small subunit ribosomal RNA", at positions 57 to 679 of the family's 1533-position model. The record is from RNAcentral. Lineage: Bacteria; Bacillati; Bacillota; Bacilli; Caryophanales; Bacillaceae.
GCAGUCGAGCGAAUCGACGGGAGCUUGCUCCCUGAGAUUAGCGGCGGACGGGUGAGUAACACGUGGGCAACCUGCCUAUAAGACUGGGAUAACUUCGGGAAACCGGAGCUAAUACCGGAUACGUUCUUUUCUCGCAUGAGAGAAGAUGGAAAGACGGUUUACGCUGUCACUUAUAGAUGGGCCCGCGGCGCAUUAGCUAGUUGGUGAGGUAAUGGCUCACCAAGGCGACGAUGCGUAGCCGACCUGAGAGGGUGAUCGGCCACACUGGGACUGAGACACGGCCCAGACUCCUACGGGAGGCAGCAGUAGGGAAUCUUCCGCAAUGGACGAAAGUCUGACGGAGCAACGCCGCGUGAACGAAGAAGGCCUUCGGGUCGUAAAGUUCUGUUGUUAGGGAAGAACAAGUACCAGAGUAACUGCUGGUACCUUGACGGUACCUAACCAGAAAGCCACGGCUAACUACGUGCCAGCAGCCGCGGUAAUACGUAGGUGGCAAGCGUUGUCCGGAAUUAUUGGGCGUAAAGCGCGCGCAGGUGGUUCCUUAAGUCUGAUGUGAAAGCCCACGGCUCAACCGUGGAGGGUCAUUGGAAACUGGGGAACUUGAGUGCAGAAGAGGAAAGUGGAAUUCCAAGUGUACG